This 16791-nucleotide long non-coding RNA is filed under the name Marmota monax (woodchuck). The record is from RNAcentral. Lineage: Eukaryota; Metazoa; Chordata; Mammalia; Rodentia; Sciuridae.
ACAAACAAACAUACAAACCUGGACCCCGGCAAGAUUAGAGGGAUGAAUUGGGAAACCCGAAAGACUGAACAUUUCUAUGGGUAAGAAGGCCUGUGGAGUCUUGAUAUGUGUCUCAUGCACAGAGAACCUGUUACUGCUGCCUGAUACGCUAAUCACAAAUAAUGUGAGGAGCAAAAAAGUUUGUAGUUCAGCACUGUUCAAUACAAAUGUAAUGUGUGUAAUUUUUAAUUUUAAAAAAUUACAUUUUUUAAAAAAAAAGCAAGUAAAGUUAAUUUUAGUAGUAUAUUAUUUAACUCAAUAUAUCCAACAUAUUAUCAUUUCAUGAACUCUUUUUAAAAAGGAUUUAGUGAGAUAUCUUACAUAUUGUUAUGUCUCUGAAAUCUGCUGUGUAUUUUUUAUUUACAGAACAACUCAAUUCAGACACUGAAUUUUCAUUGGAAAUAAUUGGUCUACCUUUAGUGUUAGUUCAUAAAAUUUACAGUUGAAAGGUAAAUUCAUAUACCCAAAUUGUUCCAAAUAUGCUUAAGCUUUCAGUAGCUGAAUUAAGCAUCAGGAGGUUUGGGGGUGGGGUUUGUUUGUUUUGUUUUGAGGGAUGGGGGCGAUAAGGGAGUAAUUGGGGUUUGGGGGUGUAUUUUUGUUUGUUUGUUUUGUACUGGGGAUUGAGCCCAGGAGCACUGAACCAAUAAGCCACAUCCCCAGCCCUUUGUUAAUUUAAAGACAGGGUCUUGCUGAGUUGCUUAGAGCCUCAUUAAAUCGCUGAGGCUGGCCUUGAACUCAUGAUCCUCCUGUCUCAUUCUCCUGAGCCGCUGGGAUUACAGGCCUGUACCACCUUGCCCAGGGAGUAAUUGUUUUUGUUUUCCUAGAACUGGGGUUUGAACCCAGCACCUUGCACAAGCUAGGCAAGUGCUCUAACAAAGAACUACAAACCUAGUCCUUCAGUUUUUAAGUUUAGAUUUAAACUAUUAAAAUUAAAUAAAGUGGAAAGAGAAAGGAAAGUCAAAAGUCAAUCAUGCAGGAGACUCAUGCUUAUUAGAUUUAUGCCUUUUUCUCAAUUUUGGUAAAAAUUGACUCCUGGGUAGAUAAUAAAGUCAUAGAAUGAAGAACCCAAUCUCACACAGGAAGUAAAAGGUGGAAUCAAUGUCUAAGGCUCUAAAUUUCCUUUGAAAACGGAAAUUGUCUCCAUCAGCUGAAACCCAUUUAGGCAACUGAACCCUGAGAGUACAUCCUCUAGUCUGGAGUUACUGACCCAUGUCUCAGAGCUCAGGACCACUUCAAAGGCAGUCUUGAAAUACGGGAGGACAGAGGUAAACUUGGUCCCUCCCUCACUGUCCAGCAAAGCAGAUAACUUUUUCUGGCCCUCUCCAUAUUUCUUCCCUUCUGUGGCCCUAUCUACUUUCUGACACCAUCUUUUUCCUCAUAACAGUUAAUCCUCAUUUUGUGAACUCAGUAUUUUCAAAUUAAUCUAUUCAAAUUUAUUUGUAUUUCUAUUUCAGAGUGCUUUUGUGGUCAUUUGCAGACAUAAAGUGACAAAGUCUGAGUUACCAAAGAGCACUCAUUCCCAGCUGAGGUCUAACAAAGCAAUGCUCUGCCUCCCCCCCCCCCCCCCCCACACACACAUAUUUUUGUUUAGUUAGCCCUUUUAUUACUUACUACCAAUUCACUCUUUUAACUAGUCCUAUUAUUUAUUUAUUUGUUUUUGUAUUUCAAAAAAUUUAGUUGAUACACAAUAUGUAUACAUAUUUAUGGGCCACAAUACAAUAAUUUGAUACAGGUGUGCAAUAUGUAAUGAUCAAGCCAGAGUAAUUAGUGUUUCUAUCUCCUCACUUAUCAUUACUGUGUGUUAGGAAGCUUCAGACUCUUAUUCUCCAGUUAUUUCUAAAUAUAUCAUAAAUUAAUGUGGAUUAUAUUUACCCUAAUAGGCUAUAGAGCACUCAAAAUAAUCCCUUCCCUCCAAGUGUAUUUUGGUAGUUGCUAUCUGACCUUUCUAUCUCUCCCACCACCUAGUCUCUAGUGACCACUGUUCUACCCACUUCUUCUAUGAGAAUGACAUUUUUAGCUUCUACAAAUGGCUGAGAACAUGUGGUUUUUGUGUUUAUGGGCCUAGUUUAUUUCAGUGAUAUUCUCCAGUUCCAUCUACUUGAUGCAAAUGACAGGAUUUCAUUUUUUUAUAACUAAAUAAUAUUUCAUUGUGUAUAUAUACCACAUUUUCUUUAGCCUUUCAUCUGUCAUUGAAUACCACAAUGAAUUCCAUAUCUUGGUUACUGUAAAUAAUGCUUCAAGAAACACUGAAGUGCUGGUAUCUCUUUGAUACAAUUAUUUAAUUUUCUUUGAAUAUAUACUCAGAAGUAGGAUUGUCGGAUCACACAAUAGUUCUAGUUGUUAUUUUCAGGGAACCUCCAUACUGUUUUCUAUAAUAGCUGUACUAAUUCACAUUUCCACCCAUAGUGUGUAUGAGUUCCCCUUUCUCUUCAUCUCACCAUCAUUUGUUUUUUGUCUUUUUACAAUAGCCUUUCUAAUGGGUAAGAUGAUAUUCAUUUUGACUUGGAUUUACAUUUCCCCAGUGACCCGUGUUGCCGAGCAUUUUUUCAUAAAAUUUUGGGGCAUUCAUUUGUGUAAUUCUGAGAAAUGUGCAUUCCAGCCAUCUGUCCAUGUUUUAAUCAGAUUAUUUGCUUUCUUGCUGUUGAGUUGUUUGCAUUCUCUAUAUAUUCUAAAUAUUAAUCCUUUCUGGAUAAACAGCUUGCAAAUAUCCUCUCCCAUUCUGUAGAUUAACUCUUCACUCCAUUGUUUCCUCUGUUGUGCAGGAGCUUGCUAAUUUGGUACAAUCCUGCUUGUUUAUUUUUGCUGCUGCCCCCCCCCCCCGCUUUUUUCAGCUUUUGUACUGCAAACAAAUGUACUUUUUGUGGUCUAUGUUGUGCCACAUUUUUUGCAUUUUUGUUGGUGGUUUCACUGUUUAUAAUACCCCCCACACAUAGUGCUGAUGGGCUGGCUACUGUUCCUAAGCAAAAGGCUGUGAUGUGCUUUGCAGAGAAAGUACACAUAUUAAAUAAGCUUCAUUCAGGCAUGUGUUAUGGCGCUGAUGGCCUUGAGUACAAUGUUGAAAAAUCAAAAAUAUUUAUCAGGUAUAAGGUGUUUUCAAACAGAAACACAUAUCAAACAAGGUUAUAUCACUAAUUGGCUGAUGUGUCCAUACUUAUACAGUAAACUAACUGUUUUCCUUAGGAGUAAUGAUUCAGUAUUCACUAGUCAGUAUUUGCAGUGACUUUUUUAAACAUAAUUACAUUAAGGGAAUUGAAUUUAGAUGUAUGUGUGUAUAUAAAAUUAACACAUACUUUAAAUACAUUAAUAAUAUAAAUAUACAGGCAUAUAUAGUUAUAAAAAUAUUAGUGCAAUUUUCUAUUUAUUCCUCUUAUGACCUGCAUAUUAGCUGAGUCUACCUUUGUCCCUUGAAAAUCUUAGUUUGGACCCUACCGAUUCCAUAGCCUUUGAACAUCUAAAGUUCUCUCAGAAAUGUUUAGCAAUUCUCAAAUUCUGUUUUUUCCACUCCAUUUCCCAGCCCAUUCCCUAGAGGGUAGCCACUCUUCUGACUUCUAACAGAAUUGAUUUUUGUUAGGCACAGUUUUAAGGCUUUUGUGCAUAUUAAUUCAAUUAAUCCUUACUAUUCCAUUUCACAGUGCGGAUUGGAGAAAUAUAGAAGUUAAAUGGUUACUUGCCCAGAUAGCACUACUGAUAAAUGCAGAGAUGGGAUUCAACCCAGGCAUCUGCUUCCUAAACAAAUAAACUAUGCUCCCAAAAUACAACCACAGCUAGAGACAGUAAAAUAAACUUAUUGGAAAAGAAACGCUAACCACCAAAUUAUUAUUUGCAUAUAACUUCAAAUGUACUCUUUCCUUUUAUUUCUUCUCACUACCCAGUGAGGAAACCACGAGGAUCAGAGAGGGAAAGGAAGGUGCCCAAGAGCCACAGUUGUAGGUGGCAGAGUUGGGAUUGGAGCCCAGUACAAAAUAAAUUUCAUCUUCAUAUUCACAGAGGAAGAAAUUGAGGCCAGGAGGGCCUAAACAAGUUGCAAUCCCAACCCUCCAGAUGGCCCAGCAAAGUGCUCUGCACAAAGAUGAUGUUCAACUUGCAUGAGGUCCUUCCUCUUGACUGAAUGAUUAGAUGCUAAUUGACUCCUCAGAUCACUUGAGGCAGCCUGGAACCUCAACUGUACUGACACUGAUAACAGGAGAUUUAUAGGUGUCUAAGAUUGCCCAGAAACCUAGCAAAUAAAAAUACAGAACAUCCAGUGAAAUUUGAACUUCAGAUAAAUGACAAAUUGAGUUUAAGUAGGUCUCAUGAAAUAUACUUUUAAAAAGUUAUUCAUUUGUUUAUAUGGAAUUCAAUUUUAACUGGGCAUCCUGUAUCUUAUCUGUCAACCCAAUCCAUGAAUUAGACAGACACUGGAGGAAGAAAACAAAAGAAUGAAGGAGAAGAGUGAGGCAGAGUGAGCAAGGAAGAGGCACUCCAAAUUUGAGGAGCCAGAGGGACUGACUUGUGGGUACUUGGUCUGUCCUGACACCCACAACAACCUUAGGAAGGGGCAGAAGAGCACCCACCUGGUUCUGGAAGGUCAGAGCUCCUAUCCACACAUCUGGGUUCGAAUUCUACCUAUGCUGCUCCAUGUUGUGCGUUAUGGAUCAUUCACUUAGUUGAGAGCUUGCUGUUUAUAAAAAAGAAUUGAAAAAUGACACUGAUCACACUAAUGUCACAUACUCAAUUAUUUUUUCCCCAUCCAUAUGUUUGUUCUCUCAUUGUGGAACUCUGUCCUAAAAUGAAAGGAAAUUAAAAAAAAAAAAAAAAGGUUGUGAUGCUUCCAUUAGUAAGGCAGGGUGGCACACACCUCUGAUCCCAGUGGCUGAGGAGGCUGAGACAGGAGGAUUUCAAGUUCAAAACCAGCCUCAGCAACUUAGUGAAAUGCUAAGCAACCCAGUGAGACCCUGUCUAUUAAAAAAAAAAAAAUUUAAAGUGUUGGGGGUGGCUCAGUGGUUGAGUGCCCCUGAGUUCAAUCCCCAAUACCAAAAAAAAAUUGUAAUGCCUCUGAAUGCUGAACAUUUUUGAUGAUCACACAUGACUGGCAGCAAGGAAAAACUCAGAUGGGUUUGAUAAGCAGGACUAUACCCUAAUAUACACAGAGAACUGGCUGUGAAUCCUCUGUCUUGCUGUUCUCCACUUACUCACUGGGUGAUUCUAGCUACAUCUCUUACUCUCUCUAAUCUUCAGGAGUAAUGGAGGCUUGCUGCCAUUCUAUGAGUAGCAGCUAAAAAAAUUUCCCAAGACUGUCCCAAUGUGGUCAGGGGACACAGCUUUUUACUCAGCUCAGCUGCAGUACUUUUCUGGAAUGCUCAUCACUAAAAUUAAAGAGGAUAUGAAACACAUGAGUUCCCUGCCCCUCACUCAACCAUCAUUCCUCAGACAAGUAUGCAGAUAUUAUACAGUCAUCCUGCAGUACCCACAGAGGGCUAGUCCAUGAACCUCCACCAUGAUACUAAAAUCUUCAGGUGUUUCUCAAGUCCCUUGUAUAAUAAUGUAUUAUUGUAUUUGCAAACAGCCUUCACAUUCUCUAGAUUAUUUAUAAUACCUAAUAUAAUAUAAAUGUUAUAUAAAUAGUUGUUGUACUGUAUUUUUUAGGAAGUGAUGACAGGAAAAAUGUCUGUAUGUGUUCGGUAGAGGCUGAAUUAAUCAUCAGAGAUCUAACUACACUGCACAUGAAUGAGACGCUAGGAGAACAGUGCUCAAAUGAGCACAGAAGAGACUGAAGUCUAUGAAAUGCAAGAAGCUGCAGUAAAAUGUGCCUACUCAUUACCUCAUUCAAAUGGAUGCAGUGUUGUGCUCAGCUCAGUAUAUGGCAAAUUCAUGUUCUGCCUUUUAGAACUUUUUAGAAUUUUUUUCUGAGUAUUUUUUAUAUAAGCAUUUGAUUGAAUCUGUGGAUGUGGAGCCCAUGGAUACAGAGAGAUGAUUGAGUAACCACACUAACAAGCCAUCCAAGCACCUGAUGGAUGGAUGCAGUAUGACCCAAAACCCAUUUCCUAAAUGUUCUAAGCACUCUCAAAAAUAUAUACGUUUGCCAGGCACAGUGGUUGCAUGCCUGUAAUCCUAGCAGCUCUGGAGGCUGAAACAGGAGGAUAGCAAGUUCAAAUCCAGCCUUAGCAAAAGUAAGAGGUGCUAAGCAAUUCAGUGAGAACCUGUCUCUAAAUAAAAUACAAAUAGGCCUGUGGCUAGGGCUCAGUGGUCAAGUGCCCCUGAGUUCAAUCCCUAGUGCCAAAAAAAAAAAAAAAUAUAUAUAUAUAUAUAUAUAUAUAUAUAUAAAAGUCACGGAUUAUCUUGACUAUAGGAUUAUUUUAUUAAUAUAAUUUUUAGGAAAUAUAAUGAAAAUUCUGCUUGCCAAAAUAGCAGAAUCCUAUCUGUCUAUACAGUGAAAGCGCAGGAUGUUCAUCGAUGUUCAUUGAUGUUUCCCAGCCUUGCCCAGGGAAAAGGGAUGUGAUAGUAAUGAGAAAGAUGAGUAUUUUGAGUUUAAAGCAUGCAGUUUUGAGGGGAAAAGUAAAUGUAUCCAGGUAUGGUGCCACAUGCCUAUAAUCCCAGUGGCUUGGAAUGCUGAGGCAGGAGGAUCACAAGUUCAAAGCCACCCUCAGCAAUUUAGUGAGGCCCUAAGUAACUUAGCAAGACUCUGUCUCAAAGUAAAAUAAAAAGGUCUGGGGGAGUGGUUCAGUGUUUAAGCAUCCCUGAGUCAAUCCCUGGUGGAAAAAAAAAAUGUAACCUUGCACUUAUUUGCAACUUGUUGCCACAGAUAUUUUAGUUCUUAGUUUUAACAAUAUGUAUACAACACAGAAGAGCCUAGACAAAAAAAAAUGUUGAAUCUAGACAUAAAAGGGCCCAAUCUAAAUUUGUUGCUUGAAAAAAUAAACAAACCAAAAAAAAAAAAAAAAGUUUGCUUUGCUAAAUAAGGCAAAGUACCACUUAAAAGAGGACCAUGUUUGCAAUGACCCUGAGGAGUAAUCCUGUUAAUAAGCGUUAAGCCUCUGUUUCUUAUGCUGCAGACUUGAGAGAAAUAGACCUGUGAAGAUAAUGUUUGGAGUGUGGAAAACAUAGUAAAUAUACUGAGUCUGGUCACAAGCCAGGCCUACAAUGUUUGGAACAUGGGGAUCCUAUUAGUUUAAUUAAUAGGCCUUGGCUUUCCUAAACCCAGUACCCUUGGAAGAACACAAGCAGCAGUCAGUGCAAGAGAAGUCACCAUCACUUUCGUUGCUGGACAUACCCACCCUGAAGAAGAGACUCCAGGCCAUGGAGAAAUGCUGGCAGCAAAGAUUGACAGUGAGAGGAAUCAUGCCCUGCUUUGACUUAUGUCUGUUUCAUCCUCUGUAAAUAAUUCUUUGCUUAAUGCUCCUCAAGGCUUAAUUUGUUUUAUUUACUUAAGCAGGUUAGUGGGAGGAAACAACUAUUUCUACAACUGAAAUAUAUAGUCUUGCCCCCAUUCCAGGCUAAAUAUAGGACUUAAUCCCCUAUAAGGUGCCCAAAGAGUCAUUGGCUGAAACUGAACACAGUUACCAUAGGGAAACCCCACAGCUUGUCCAUGUAGGGUGCAAGCCUUGCUGGACCAGAGUCUUGAAAAAAGAGGAUUGUCCGAUUAUCCCAUGUGAUCUGUCCUCUCAGAGUAGCCUGCUGUGCUUAGUCCUUGUGCUCCCCAAGUUAGGGACUCCCUUUUUCAUUCCUCAAUCAAUUGGGGAGGGAUCUUUAGAAUAAGGGGAAUAGGGGCUGGGGAUGUGGCUCAAGCGGUAGCGCGCUCGCCUGGCAUGCGUGCGGCCCGGGUUCGAUCCUCAGCACCACAUACAGACAAAGAUGUUGUGUCCGCCAAAUACUAAAAAAUAAAUACUAAAAAAAAAUUCUCUCUCUCUCCCUCUUUCUCACUCUCUCUCACUCUUUCUUUAAAAAAAAAAAAAAAAAAAAAAGAAUAAGGGGAAUAAAGAAACAAGAUUUUUCCAGGGACAGUGGCAUGGAUCUGUAAUCCUAGCAACUUGGGAGACUGAGGCAGGAGGAUCACAAAUUCAAGGCCAGCCUCUGCAACUUAGUGAGUCUCAAAAUAAAAAUAAAAAUGAUCUGGGAGUGUAGCUCCUUGGGUUCAACCCCCACUACCAAAGAGAGAGAGAGAGAGAAGAAAAAGAAACAAAAUUUUAAGUAAAAGAGGGAGGGAAGGAGGUAGUGAAGAAGAGAGAAAUUAGUUAAGAUUUAAGUUAAAAUCACAGAAAAGAGAGUGGAUUAAAUAUAUAUCAUAUAUACAUAUAUACAAUGAAAAACAGUAAAAAAAAGCUAAAUGUAAAAUCAAAUUUAACAAGCUGAUGCCAAUUUAAUAAGAAACUGAUGGUUAAAUUUAAGAAGUAAAACUGGUCUUUAUUUUGUCUGUCCUCUAUAAUCUAUUUCAUGUUGUCCAUGCUUUUAACCAGUUUGCACCAAAUGAACUGACCCAAAUCUUACACUUCAAAAGUCUGAACCUUUGGUGAAUUAGGCUGGAAUUAUGCGAAGUGUAUAAUUAACCUUUACCUCCAGACACACAGUAUAAGCCAUCAUAAAAAUCAUGUCUCUGACAUCCUAUCCACAUUCCUCCAGGCCUUUGUUAAAAUGGGUCCUAUUCAAGUGCCACUUUUGUGCACUGAACUUAAGUCCACUGAGCUAUUCUCAGAAUGAGAGCCUUCACCACUAUGGACCAUGCAGCAAUGCUGGGGACACACCCACAUACUUCUGAGGCUCUAUGCUUGCAAACCUACCUGCCAGAAUCCAUUUCUCUUCUAGAGAGGGAUGAGUUGGUUGCAAGGAACAGAAAUUAUCUCAGUUAACUUAUGUGAAGAUGGGUUUAUCAUAAAAGAAUGUUGGCAGCCAACUCAGCUUCCAAAGUGGACUGUUGAAACAAUUUAUUGAGUCUGGAGCUUUUCCUGAAUUAACAAAAGGGAGGAGCCAUUAAAGGAUAAUAUAGCUAAUUUAUUAUUUCAAUAGCUUCCCAGGCAGAACAGGAAAGAAACCAGACCUCUUUUCUGCACAAUAAUGGGACCCACUAACUCUGGGGAAAAGGCAAGAUGUCCUUCUAAUUGAGGAAAUAUAUCCUUUUUCAAUAUGAGUUUAGACUGUACUCUCUAAAAAUUAAUGUCUGUUCCUAGGAGCUGUGCAUGAGCUAAUAUAACAACUCUAUUAAUCAAAUGAACUAACCUGAAUCCUGCUCACACAUAUGGGAACAGCAAAAAGGAAAUCUAGCCAGGAAAAUCUAAACCCGCAACCAACUACAGACCCAGAGGCUCUUCUCCUACCUAUCCCACCCCCACCUGCACCCCCAUACACACAAUUUUGGGAGACAUGAGUGGCAAGAGACAUCAUUUUUAACUAGCCUAAGUACUGAGGAUCCUACUUCAACUUGACACAUGCAAAAUUAAGACACUGGGAUAGAGUAGGAGUGAUGAAUUAGAGAGAGAGAGAGAUCUAAGAAGUAGCAUCCCUUUUUGUGAAUACGUAUGGGAUUUUCUCCAAGCCAAUUAAAGUUUCUAAGGUACUAAACUUAAAAACGAGGUCCAAGGAAAGAGAAAACUGUAAAUCUAAAAGCCAGGGAGCUUGUGAAGGAUCUGAAUCUGUAGGUACCAUCCCUGUGAGAAGUGAAGAGAAGAAUCGAAGUUAGGGGUGCUUUGUUCUCUCCUUGACAUUGAAGCACCCUUCUCAAAUUGUCUCAACUCUCCAGUCCAAAGUCCCAGACACCCUGAUACCCUCACACCACACACCCACUCAGGCUACCCACUUCCCUUCUUUUCACUUUGAUUUUUUCUCAAAUAUCUGGGAGCCAACACCACCUUCACCAAUUUUCACAAAGAAAUGCACUCUGUAGAUUUUGAGAAUUAGUCAUGGGAAGUGUGACAUCAAUGUCACAGAUUCUAUCCCUACACAUACACACAAACACACACUUACUUCCUGACUUCCUUUUCUUCCUCUCCAGAGUAAUCGGCAAAUGUUUUUCCUUUCUCUUGAAGAUGUUUGGCCUAUUGGUUUAGUCAGAUUUUUUGCUGUUGUGACUAAAAGACCAGACCAGCACAACUGUAGAGGAGGAAAGGUUUAUUUGAGGGCCCACAGUUUUUGAGGUUCUAGUGCACACAAGGCUGGCUCCAUUCCUCAGGGCUCAAGGUGAGGCAGGACAUCAAGUGGAAGAGUGUGGCAGCUUACUUGGUGAUCAGGAAGCAAAAAGAGAGACUCUGCUCACCAGAUACAAAUAUACGCAAGGUUAUGCCCCAAUUCCCACUUCCACCUUACUACUUCAGCUACCAUUCCCCAUCAGUGGAUUAAAUCAGUGAUUGGGUUAAGACUCUCACAUCCCAAUAGUUUCUCCUCUGAACCUUCUUGCAUUGUCUCACACAUGAGAUUUGGGGGCCACCUCACAUCCAGACCAUGACACCUAUGCUCAGUUUCCUUGUUUUAUCAGCUUUUACCUAAAAUGAGCUUGUCCUGAAAAAACUACAGUAUGAUCAAAUCUGGUAAGUAUUAUUUCCUCCUUCUCAUAAACCUAGGGUCAAAUGACCAUCUUACAGAAUCUAAGGACAAGAAAAGUCUGCAGACUAGACUAAGGUCAGAGAGCCAAGCCUCUCCCUCUGAUCCUCUAGAGCCUUCUGACCUUUUAUUCCCCUCUCUUUUCUAUGUGCCUGCUCCAUUCUGCUUCCUCUGAAUCUGGGCUUCCUGUGGCUACUUUCCAACAACACAUGGUGUUAAAAUGGCCAUCCUAAUUCAGCAAAAUGCCUACCACCAAAUGAUUUCAGUAAUUGUGUCUUAAUAGAAUUUCUUUUCUUUCUCUUUUUUUGUUUGUUUGUUCGUUUUGUUUUGUUCUGAUUUGAUUUUUUUGUUUGGUUGUACCAGGAGCAUGCUUAACCACUGAGCUAUAUUCCCAGCCCAUAAAAUAUUUUUUAUUUUAAGAUCUCAUUAAGUUUCUUAGAGCCUCACUAAAUUGCUGAGACUGGUCUCAAUCUUGAAAUCCUCUUGCCUCAGACUUUAGUUGCUGGGAUUACAGGCAUGAGAUAACACACCCAGCCUUUUGUAGAAUUUCUUGAGAGAGGAAGAGAAGGAACAUACAACUGGAAGCCUUGGCUCAGAUCUAAUCAGCUGUUGCCAGGGGGUGAGGGAAGGAGAUAAAUAUGGUAUAUACAGUCAAUUCUUCCAGAAUCUGUGGGCAAGGUAGGUACAUGGAAGUUUUCUUGAUCGAAGUACCUAGCCUACUUAUCCUUAGUUUUCGAAGGGUUUGGGACUCUAAUAAAUUAGACCCUGCCCAAGUUCUGAACCAAUUGAGGGGGGAAAGAAAAGCAAACGAAUAAGACAAAUGAGAGAUUAAGAUAACAUUACUAAUAAAGUUGAUAUUAACAAACAUGGCCUACAUAAUUUAUCAAAUGGAUUUCAUAAUCUUGAACCCCAAGAUUAAGAAGACUAACUCAUCUACUCACAGAAUGUACAAGAAAAUUAUAGCUGUCCUCCCCUUUCAUUUAUAUAGAUGAAUCAAUACUGAUCACGAAUUGAUAAUUAUUAAGGUGGGUUAUGAGUAUGGAUCUUUAUACUAUUGCAUCAGUGUCUCUCCCAUUUUAGUACUCUGCACCUAACACCUUUUGGGGAAAAGUUCAAUCAUCCGCUUAUAUCUCCUCCUUCCUCUUUCAGACAGAAAUACCUGAAGGAUUUCUGUUUUUCUUCAAAGUUUAAAAAGUUGCCAUAAUGCCAUCUAGAAAGGUCAUUAGGCCUUUUCUAAGGGAUUUUUCAUUCCCAUCCUGUCUGCUCAAAUUUUUCUAAAUUCAAUAUCUAUUGAGCCCAAAGCUGCUGGCACUGGAUUACACCCCAAAUACGUGCCUGUCCUGACUUCCAAGACUGGUGCUCUGGAGUGUUGGAAUGAGAGAAAAAGGCAUUUUUCAUUCUGUUCCCUAAAGUGGCUGCAGCUACUACCUCCUGCGAGUAAUUCUUUUAGGCUCAAGAAACCUGCUUCCUAGGGACGUUUCUCCCUACUCUCUGCAUUCAUUCCCACUAGAGAAAGACCGUUCCCAAUUCCUGAACUGAAGAUGCUGUUAACAUUUGGGAACUUGGGCCCCAAUUAGUAGGGUAAUUACCUUGGAUACAAGAUUUCCAGCGCUAAAAUGAGGAAAACCUGAAUGGAUGGUCAACUAGCUCAGGCCUAAUAAAUACCUGUUAGUAACUCAGCCAUGAUCUUCCUCAAGACAGUGUCUUUUCUUGCCUUCUGAUUAGUCCAGGCCUUGAGAAUCAGUUCUUUCUGCCACUUGGACAUUUCUCCUCCUCCUCUUUCCUCUUCUUCUUCCUUUUCUUCUCCUAUACUGGGGACUGAACCCAAUGGCACCCUACCACUGAGCUGUAUCGCCAGCUCUUUUAAAUUUUUAUUUUCUUUUUGAUUUUGAGAUAGGGUCUCACCAAAUCAUCCAGCUUAACCAUUGAUCCUCCUGCCUCAGCCUCCCAAAACUGAGAUUAUAGUCACAUGACACCACACCUGGCAUCCGCAUUAAUGUUUUAUCUUGAAUAUGCCUUUUCAUAGAUUCCUAAUUCAUAAAUAUUUCAGGCAUAAUCUCUCAUAUCUAAUCUGUUUAUACAAUAACCAUGUUACCCAGAAACCUCUGACAAUACUUUAAGUACUUUACAAUGAUCUUCCUUGUCUUUCUCUCCCAAGUCUAUUCAGUUUUUCUGUAGCUAGCAAACACAUCUGUUGUCUUUAAGGGGUAGGUCCCCAUUCACUCAUGCUAUGAUCACUUCCUCCCCAAUGCUGAGAAAAUGUAGCAGUGCCCUAGAUCUGGACCCCUUUUGAGUGAGCUGUUCCAGUCAACUCUGAAAUCUAGACUUUCUUAUCUUGUUAGAUUUACUUGGACCCUUAUCGCUAUUUCUGAGUUAAUAAUAACUCAGUCAUCUCACACUUAUAUGAAACCCUCUUUAAAAACAAUUAAAUGGGGCUGGAGAUGUGGCUCAAACGGUAGUGUGAUCGCCUGGCAUGCGUGCGGCCCGGGUUCGGUCCUCAGCACCACAUACAAAGAUGUUAUGUCUGCCGAAAACUAAAAAAAAAUAAAUAUUAAAAAAAUUGUCUCUCUCUCUCUUUAAAAAACAAAAUGAAUGAUUUAAGAAAAUAAAUAAAAACAAUUAAAUGCAUCUCUUUUUCCUAUUUUUUUUCUUUAUCUAUCUUGACAUUAUCAACACAUUGUAAGAGACAGAUCUUGAGUCUGAGAUAAGCAAUAUGAAUCCAAGGUUAUUCUCUCCAUGGUUGCCAGCCAGGGCAACUUAGUAAGACCCUGUCUAAAAAUAAAAAAUAAGAGGGUAUAGGUAUGCAGUUUGGUGGUAGAGUAGUGCCUCUGGGUUCAAUACCCAGUGCUGCAACAAAAUAAUAAUAAUAAUAAUAAUAGUAAUAAUAAUAAAUUUUUCAAGUAAACUUCAGCCGAGUAUGUGACACAUGCCUAUAAUCCUAGUGACUCAAGAAGCUGAGGCAGAAGGAUUACAAGUUUGAGGCCAGCCUCAGCAGUUUAGCAAGGCCCUCGGCAACUUAGUGAGACACUGUCUCAAAAUAAAAAAUAAAUAAAAGGGCUGGGGAUGUGGCUCAGUGGUAAAGCACCCCUCGGGUUAAUCCCCAGUACCAAAAAUUUAAUAAAUAAAUAGAGUGAACCUCAGAAAUAGAGAGGGGCUUGCUCAUCUAUAGAUCUUGCUGGAAAACUGAGAUCUCCCUAUUGGAGAAAGCUCCUUUAAAUUAUCCUACAGAACACGUUUCUGUGGUCGUCCCAGCUGCCAAAGAAAGAAUUAGAGGAACAGAACCAAUAUGCUCAGUUUGUUCUUCCCAAAUUUAUCAUUCAGCUGUCUUUGACUUCUCCUCUGCAGAGAGAGGCCAGGAGUAUUACCUUAGAGGAGCUCCUUCCAUGUGAAAUGAACUCUUGAGACUGGGGGAAAGCACUUUUCUGUGCAGUGGUCAAAUGACUCAUCCUAGCCAACACUAGGAUACCCUUUUCCCUUCCUGUCGUGUGUCAUGACAUGAUAAAUGUAAAAUGACUGGUUUCCAAUCUCCAAUUUAGUGGAAUCAUUUUCAUGAUCCCCUAGUGGAAAUAUCCUUGACUUUGGUAGCAAAAUAAUCUUAGUGUCAAGAAGCCAAUAUAUUUUUAAUAUAUAUUUUUUUAGUUGUAGAUGGACGCAAUUCCUUUAUUUUAUUUAUUUUUAUGUAGUGCUAAGACCAACCCAGUGCCCCACAUGUGCUAGACAAGCGCCCCUCCACUGAUCUGCAGUCCCAGCCCCAGGAAACCAACAUUUUGAGAAUGACUUUUGAAGUAUAAUUAUGAAUGACGACACUCUUAUCUUCACUUCCCAACCUAGACCUGUGUGUACAGACUUUGGGAAAGAACACUAAAGAGAGCGAUUGAGAGAGAGAGAAAUCUGACAGAACAUAAAUCACCAUCAACAAGAUAAGUUGCCAAGCUCACAAGAAAUUGUUCCCCAGCUUUUGUCUAAGCUGAGCAUCAUUUUUCUGUACCACCAGUGACUUCAUGAUAGAUCUGUAUUUGCUUUUCAGGGCUACCAUAACAAAGUACCACAAAGGUGGUAGCUUAAAACAACAAUUCAAUGGAUUUAGUCUCUGAGUGUGAAGGAUAAACUCCAAAUCAAGGUCUCAACAAGGUGCACUGUCUCCAGAGGCUUGAGUGAAUCCUUCUGUGCAUCUGGUGGCUCCUGGCAAUCCUUGGCAUUCUUUGACUGGUAGUUGUAUCGCCUCAAUCUUUGCCUUCAUCUUUACAUGGCUUCCUAACCUCUGUCUCUAUGUCUCCAAAUCUCCCUCUACUUAUAAGGGCACAACUCAUUGGUUUGGGGGGACCUCCUUAAUCCAAUAUGACCUUAUCUUAACCUAACUUCAUUGGCAAGAACCCUAUUUCAAAAUGAGGUCACUUUUAACAGUCAUCACAGUCAGGACUUUAACAAUAUCUCUGGAGAGACAUAGUUCAAUCCUUCAUAGGUUUCAUGCUGAAAUCAAUGAAUGGCAUGGAUAUUGGUCCAUUUUCUUCUUUUGCUGUGAAAUAAUUUCUUGAUAGAGCUAUGAUACAUUAUUUCUAAAAAUGAACCCAAUUUUUUACCCCUCCCUAUAUCAAUGCCCUUUGAAAUGUGAUUUUUCAGUUCUUUCCAUCAAGAAAUAGAGCCUAGCAGGGUGCAGAGUCUCAUACCUGUAAUUCCAGUGGCUCAGGAAGCUGAGACAAGAGGAUCACAAGUUCAAAGCCAGCCUCAGCAACUUAAUGAGAACUUGUUUGAAAAUAAAAAAUAAAAAAAUGAGCUGGAUAUGUGGCUCAUCCCCAGCUAGGUUCAAUUCCUGGUACAGGAAAAGAAAAAGAGAAAGAAGGAAGGAAGGAAGGAAGGAAGGAAGGAAGGAAGGAAGAGGGAGAGAGGGAGGGAGGGAAAGAAAGAAAGACUACUUCCUUGCUCAAUGAAUCUACAUUGGCCUUAUUGCUUGCUCUGGGUAAUUGAAUGCAGCAGAAAUGGCAUUGUGCCAGUUCUAACCUACGACACAAACUUCAGUCUCUCUUUUGGAACCCUGAUCCUGCCAUAUAAAUAAGCCCAUGCUAGCAUGCUGCAUGGGAAGAGACACAUGGCCCAGUCUCCCAUGUCACUGCAGCCAUCAGCCAGCCAACCAACACACUUGGGUGAGUGAGGUAAUUCUAGACCAGUCAACUCCUAGCCAACUCAGAUGGCCCACAGAUUCACAGUCAAAGAUAUAUGAUGGUUGUUUUAAACUACUGUUAAGUUUUGGGGUGGUUUGUUACAUGGCAUUGGGUAACUGAUGAUAGGAGUUAAGAGAUUAUGUGAUUCUAUGGCAAUAGAUAAGGCCUUUAGUUAGUUCACAGAUAUCAGCACUGGUAGAAUCAUGACAAUUAGAGAAGAAAUACUCAAAUUCAGAAUAAGUGUCUGUUCCUAUGAGGAAUUCUGGACACUUACAUAAUGAUGUUAAAAAAAAAAAUCCAACUGGUACCAGUAGCUGGCUGCCCUUACAAUGCUGCCCCAUAAUAUGAAUUGAGAGUUUGUCAGUGUAAACUGGCAAUUUGGGAACUUGGCAAUGGCAGCAGCCAAAUGAGAUUUGGCCUGGAAAAUUCCAUUAUGAAUCCAAACCUAAUUAACAUCCCUGAUCCCAUUGCCAAUUUAUUCAUGAAUCCACUGAGCAAAGAUUGGAAAGGUUGGAGAAGGAGGUUUGAUUGAUGUAGCAAACACAUCGUGUCCCAAUCCACAUCUUCUUGUCUCAUCUUUUUCUCCAGGCAUUGGAAACCAGCUUCCUGCAUAGAGAAUCUAUCAGCAGUUUGACUCAGCUUCACUUUUUGCCCAAGGAACACUCCUGCACAUUCAACCUGAAAGCUAAAGCAGCUAACACCCAGGGGCAAAUCUUGACCAGUGAAGAAGAAGCCUGUGAUCAGCUAGUGCAAGGAGCACUUUAUAGCUAUUCUCAGAAGAUCCUGGAAGAUUUAGCUCAGUUGCUCACAAUAGUGAUUGACUCAAUUAUAUUCCUAAACUGGCUCUUCCUCCUGCUUCACUGUUCUCUGCCCUCACUCCUGCUCUGGGAUCACUUCCCAAAUCAAUCUCCUCCUCAAAAGUCCUCAUCUCAGCCACGGGAUGGUGUAUGGUGCAGGGAGAGGCACUGAAACUGAAGGCGGAGGAGGAUUCCCAGAAGAAGACAACUAACCCCCACAGAGUGAGUCACUCUGCCUACCUACUCAUUAAGAAUAAAAACCAUAUGGAAAGCAUUCGUGAAACAAGAAU